Molecule: ribosomal RNA, 329 nt
Filed under: uncultured eukaryote
Lineage: Eukaryota
Description: partial 18S ribosomal RNA
Rfam family: Eukaryotic small subunit ribosomal RNA
Source: RNAcentral
CCCUUAGAUGUUCUGGGCCGCACACGCGCUACACUGAUGCAUUCAACGAGUCUAAAACCUGCUCUGAUAGGGGUGGGUAAUCUUUUGAAUGUGCAUCGUGAUUGGGAUAGAUGAUUGCAAUUUUUCAUCUUCAACGAGGAAUGCCUGGUAAACGCAAGUCAUCAGCUUGCAUUGAUUACGUCCCUGCCCUUUGUACACACCGCCCGUCGCUCCUACCGAUUGAAUGAUCCGAUGAAUAUCAUGGAUUGAGGAUGCAAGCAGGUUCGCCUGUCUUCAUCUUCGAGAAGUGAAGUAAAUCUUAUCAUUUAGAGGAAGGAGAAGUCGUAACA